RNAcentral lists this ribosomal RNA (253 nucleotides) under uncultured bacterium. Its description in RNAcentral is "partial 16S ribosomal RNA". It matches the Rfam family "Bacterial small subunit ribosomal RNA", at positions 524 to 776 of the family's 1533-position model. The record is from RNAcentral.
UACGUAGGGUGCUAGCGUUGUCCGGAUUUAUUGGGCGUAAAGGGCUCGUAGGCGGUCUGUCGCGUCGGCUGUGAAAACCCGGAGCUCAACUCCGGGCCUGCAGUCGAUACGGGCAGACUGGAGUUCGGCAGGGGAGACUGGAAUUCCUGGUGUAGCGGUGAAAUGCGCAGAUAUCAGGAGGAACACCGGUGGCGAAGGCGGGUCUCUGGGCAGUAACUGACGCUGAGGAGCGAAAGCGUGGGGAGCGAACAGG